Non-coding RNA from Podarcis lilfordi (Lilford's wall lizard), 428 nucleotides. The record is from the annotation of a GenBank genome assembly. Lineage: Eukaryota; Metazoa; Chordata; Lepidosauria; Squamata; Lacertidae.
AAGAGCUGUUCGACAGUGGAAUUUGCUGCCAAGGAGUGUGGUGGAGUCUCCUUCUUUGGAGGUCUUUAAGCAGAGGCUUGACAACCAUAUGUCAGGAGUGCUCUGAUGGUGUUUCCUGCUUGGCAGGGGGUUGGACUCGAUGGCCCUUGUGGUCUCUUCCAACUCUAUGAUUCUAUGAUUCUAUGAAACAAACAGAAGACUUCAGCGCAUAACUAUGAAAACUAUUAAACACAUCAGGAUUUCAACUCUCCCCCCUGCAGAAGGGCUCCUAGGCCUUCAACACCUGAUGAUCAACAGCACCUUCCAUCUCGAACUCUACGAUCGACAGGUGAGGCCCCAAGUUAGUGGCUAAAUAUCUCUGUUUGGUUUUUUGUCGUUGAAAUACACUGCAGACGUCUGAUCUCCCUGGAGACCAAGAGAUAAGACGA